UAUGCACACAUGCACACACACAUGCAUACCUAUAUAUGUCUACAUUACGUUUUGUACUUGUAUCAGAUCUUUGGUAACUCUUUCUUGGUUUUUGUAAUUUCUAAGCAUUAUCCAGUGACCUUGGAUUAACAGUUAAAUAUGAUAUUUAAGGUCUAUAUUUCAUUAUAUCUCUGGGUUUCUCAGAUAAGAAUCACAACAGAGGGCCAAAUUGUUAGGCUUCCCUUGGGGAAUUAGUGAGGCAGUGGCAAGGAACAAAUGAAGGGAGCAAAAUUCAUUUAAUUCUAGUCUUAUUGUUCACCGGGAGUACCUUGAUAAAACCCAGAUAUCGAUGGGAAGAUUUGCACCUCAAACUUGCGUAGACACAUAAUUUCUCUACCCUUCCCUAAACUCCCUAGGUGUUCCAAUCCCUGGAAGCUUCCCAGCAAAAGUCUUAGUGAGUUGGGGUGUACAUCCAUAAUCCAUUCCUGGGAUUAGUGAGAGAGGAACUGGAUGGACACCUGGAAUAGAGACGAAAAGGAAUAUUAUGUGGCAAGAACAGGCUUCAAGCAGAGAGAUGAAGAAACAGAAGCACAGAAAGGUUGAGUGAUUUUCCUAAUAUCACACAGCCAGAAAAUGGAGCUAGAACUUGAACUCAGCAGUCUGGCCUUAGAAUCUCUGCAGUUAAACACUAUAUUCUUCAUAUUAAGGGUGAAAGUACCAAGAACUACAUAAUGAAUAGUAAAAAAGAAUAUGGUGGAGGAUUAUGGUGUGUCGUGCUUCAGGAGACUAAAUCUCAGCGUCAACUCCUAUGGAUGUAAGGUGGAUAAUAGAGAGAGGAGGCCAUCAGAAACAGCUUGUUAAAUGAGGUGUUUAGUAGAGUUGGAAAAGAACACAACCAUGACUGGUAAUAGGAGCUUGGAAAUUACAUAGGUCACCCAGUUUGGGGUACUCUGCUGUGGCAGCCCUAGAAGACCAACACAGGAAGUCACAUACCAAGUCCAGAGUCAGUAUGGGACUGACCAAGAGCAUGGAUACAGGCAAGCAUGAGCAAACUGGGGACCAAUUCUGCAAUAAUACACCCCAGAGAGUAAAGAGGAGGAGCCCAGGUCCCCUUAGUCACAGAAGUUAACGGGAACAGGAGCAAAAGCUUGAAACUAACUGAGCGAUAGUCACUGGAGUCAGCCGGACAGAUAUCAAAAUGUCAACUUGAUAAUGGUUAAAGCUAAAAGACAAAUCUGGAUCUACAUCUGCCUCCAACCCAGCAUUGAACUUUCCCCAUCCCCAGCAGGAGGUGCUGGGUACUGUAGCAGCAGCCCCACCCCCUCCCCGAGGGACAGCCUGCCCUCCAUGCCAUACUUAACUACACGGUGCAGGGCUGGGCAGCACACAUGCUCUUGGAAAAUAGGAAGCUGAGCUGCAAAGCCCAAAGGACUUCUUUCUCACAGACCUGCCAAUCAGGUAAGCCACACUGACUCCUCCGGGUGGAAAGCCAGGAGGGUUACUUUGAUGAGAGGUUCCCUCUCCUGUUAGCAGCUGUGUAUUGAAAUCACCCCACUGCUGUAUUGGCUCCAGAUUUCAGGGAUCCUAAAGUACUGGGACUAUAUUCAACCCUCAUUUUUAUCCCCAAUACCUGGCAUUAGUUCUAACCUAUAAGCAGCACUCAGGAACUGAAUUCUUGUUGAAUGAGUGACUGAUUCCAUUCUAAGAUCUAAAGAGACAAAGAAUGAAGUGCAAAGAGUUAGUGGCCUAAGGUGAAAAGCUUAGACUUUGGAACUGGGCCAAAGUGGGGUAAAGUUUCAGUUCUAGCAUUUAGGAGCUGUGCGGUCCUGGCAAUUCUUGAACUGUUCUUAAAAAUUAGGGGGCGCCUGGGUGCUCAGUGAUUGAGCGUCUGACUCUUGAUAUCAGCUCAGGUCGUGAUCUCGCGGUCCUGGGAUGGAGCUCUAUGGUAGUCUCUGCACUGAGCAUGGAGCCUGCUUGGGUUUCUCUCUCUCCCUCUCUCUCUGCCCCUCCCCUGCUCAUGUGCUCAUGCUGUUUCUUUGUUUCUCUCAAAAUAAGUGGAUAAACAUUACAAAAAAAUAGUACCCACUGUUAUGAAAAUAAAACGUGAUUAAAAACAACAACAAUGAAAUGUUGGCAGAGAGUUGUCACUUGUUUGUUUCUCUCUCACUCUUUGGUUUGUUUUGUCAGGCACCUUGUAGCUAAACCUCUUUUAUCUUCAGGCUAAGUCCCCUAAGAGGUGGAAUCAAGGGCUUCUUCCCACUGCGGAAGUUGCCGGAAGGGCAGAUAUUCCUGCAUUCCACUCCCUGGAUGGGAGGGCAAGAGUCUAUGGCCUAAGCCUGAGUAACCAGAUGCUUCUGCCUGAGACUGCCAAUGAAAAAAGAUGUAGGGAGAGCUAGAGAUUAUUCCUGAUGACAGCAGCAUGGUCUACCAUCCCAUGUUGCCACAGCGAGAUCAGUGGUGAUCAAGUAGUGAGAUCUCAUAAUGAAUUCUAGUCACUCUUUUAGUGGCACGGCUUUGUGUUUCUUAGUGUUGGAGAUGUCAUCAAAAAGAAGGGAAUGGGGGGCCGUGGGUGAGUCAGUCGGUUAAAUAUCUGACUUCAGCUCAGGUCAUGGUCCCAUGAUUUGUGAGUUUGAGCCCCAUGUGGGGCUCUCCGCCCUCAGCACAGUGCCUUCUUCAGAUGCUCUAUCUCCCUCUUUCUCUGUCCCUUCCUACCCACCUCUCUCUCUGUCAAAAAUAAAUAAACAUUGGGGCGCCUGGGUGGCUCAGUCAGUUGAGCGUCCAACUUUGGCUCAGGUCAUGAUCUCACCGUCUGUGGGUUCGAGCCCCGCGUCGGGCUCUGUGCUGACAGCUCAGAGCCUGGAGCCUGUUUCAGAUUCUGUGUCUCCCUCUUUUUCUGACCCUCCCCUGUUCAUGCUCUCUCUCUGUCUCAAAAAUAAAUGAAUGUUAAAAAAAUUUUUUUAAAUAAAUAAAUAAAUAAAUAAACAAACAUAAAAAAAAUACAAAAAUUUUUUAAAAAUGGAGUGCCUGCCCAUUGACCUGUGAGCUGGACCCAGGUACUUGGAGGCUCCUUACCCCCUCCCUUGUCCUUGGAAUGUGGAUUCUGCUGCCCCAAGAGCACAGCCUUGAGAUAGUGAUAUGGUGCUGAGAACACCUGCACAGUAGACCUGACUGAACCUAGUGAAGGCCUCUAUAAACUUUUAGAUCUGGUAGACAGGUGUAGGGAUCCAUUUGUCUUGCUGCCUCCCAAGAGAAGCCUCAUAUGUUAGUCCUGUUUGCUUAUUAAAACUGCCACCUGCCAGCCUGGAGUGGCCAGCCUCUUUCAUCAGUCUCUCCCUGUCCUCUGGGUUCAGGAAGCUCCAGGAAGUGUUCGAAACCAACGCUUAGCUACUGCUCCAUUCCCUGACCUCAUUGUCUCCCCUCCUUGCUCCCUGAAUUUUUGUGGGUGCGUGUCACUCAAAGUAUUUUAAUAAACUCCUUUUCAGCUGAAGUUGGCUAGAAUUAUGAAUUAAGUAUGUCAUUUGAAAAAAAUAGGAAAUAAAGAUCGUUAUUCACAAAGGGAGCAACAGAAGGCUAUCUGGCCUAUUUGUGAUUCAGAAAAAAUUCUAUUUGUCUAUUGUGAUUCAGAAAAAAAUUCAUACAUAGCAAAUAUUCCAUCUGGAACUGUCCUGCCUUUGGGAACUUGCAUACAUGGGGAGUUUCAGAAAACUGUGUCCAAAACCCACCAGAAAAAAGAGACUCAGUUUAAAUGACUCUCUACCAAUCUCCCUUUGACCAGUUCCAAGAAGCCUCAUUCUGUAGGACAGCCCCAACAGUCCCCAGCAAAGAUUCUCCAUGUUGAAUGUAUUGUCCCUUAUACUUUGAAGCACAGUUUGGAAAGUGAACUGCUUGAGCACUGCAGUAGAGUCUAAGUUAUAAUGGAAGCACAUCUCAGUAAAGAUGACAGCCAGGUCUACCUUCCUGCAACGAGUCAGGGUUAGGAUAAACUGUCAAACAAUGUAGCAGAGCAUACAGCACCUCGAUAAGCCACAAAUGCAUAUAUAGGAUAAUGGCACAGAUGGAAGAAAAUGAUGGAAAAGAAACUAUCUUUAAUUUCCCUUAAAUUAAGUCGCCUGUACUAGGGCAAUAGUGUAUAUAUAAAGAAAUUUCAGCAUUUAUGACCACAGAGUAAGUGCAUUAAAAUGCAUUCAUGGAGGAAGGAAUAAAGAGAAUAUUUCUUUCCUAAAGAAACAAAUGACAUCAUGAAAUCAUCUUUCUUGGGGUGCCUGGGGGCUCAGUUGGUUAAGUGUCCCACUUCAAUUCAGGUCGUGACUCAUGGUUUGUGAAUUCGAGCCCCAUGUGGGGCUCUGUGCCGCCAGCUUAGGAGCCUGCUUAGGAUUCUGUGUCUCCCUCUGUCUCUCUCUGCACUCCCCCCACCCCCGCUUGU
Acinonyx jubatus (cheetah) is the source of this 4402-nucleotide long non-coding RNA. RefSeq lists it as uncharacterized. Lineage: Eukaryota; Metazoa; Chordata; Mammalia; Carnivora; Felidae. The transcript has 7 exons. The record is from RefSeq and is a predicted model, not a curated record.